Long non-coding RNA from Gasterosteus aculeatus aculeatus (three-spined stickleback), 3178 nucleotides. The record is from Ensembl. NCBI's taxonomy places the organism in Eukaryota, Metazoa, Chordata, Actinopteri, Perciformes, Gasterosteidae.
CACCAGGCCGAGUGUGUAUUCAUCGCACAUAUUCUUUGACCCCAGAGAGCAUCAGUCCACUCCCUUUCUCCCUUUCCUCCCAACCGAGCCCCCGCUCUGAUCUAUUCCGGGGGGUGUUGUGGCUAGGAGGGUGUGUGAGUGCGUUUGCAGCCCUGCCCAGUAAAAUACAGACUUUCCAAGGAAGUCGGCAAUAUAAUAUGGCCGCUUUAUUGUAAUUACAAGCUUCUCCUUUUGGAAAUAGCUCACCGAGAGAAAGCUGCCCACAGUUUUGAAUCGUCCUAAUCCCUGAAGUCUCUCUGGCUUGCGUUGACCCAGAUGUUUCACCACACCAGGCGGCUCUAUCAGCUGGAUGCGAGUCCCCCUCGACAUUACAACCUGUCAAGAUUCCGCCGCCGUCGCACUGGAUGAAGUGUGAGAAAGGAGUUUGCAUGCCAUUCGUCUAAAUGCAGACGGAUUCACGUCAGCUACAAGGAAGCACAACACGUCAAGUAAAUGGAGGCAAGGCACAUAAUCACGUGAACAAUCACCUGUCCUAAACCGGCUUUAUGGGGGACGCAUCAUGCUUAUUUUCAAUGAUUGUAGGUGUCUGUGUACAUCUUUAUGUUGAUUGAGCACUACCACAGUAUACUUUUUAUGCAAUACCUAGACUGCUUAGUAAUCAAAAAGACAUUUAAAUCCCACAUUCUACAACAAGAUACCUUUAAGAUAGAGACACUCUAAAAAAAAUCUAAAAAUGAGGCAAGCAAGAUUCUUGAAAAGCAUCAACAACUCUUCGAGGUUUUUAUAUCGCAGCCUGCUUUAAUGAGGCCAUGGUUUGAUGAAUUGACAUACAAGAUAGAAUAAUUGUAAGGUAAAUGCAGCAAUAUGAACAAUAUUGUUGAAAAAUGUGGACAGAUAACAGAAAUACUGAAAAAAAUGAUUUUUAUUUGACAAAUAUCCAUAAAGUGAAGCUGAACACAGACACACACACACACACACACACACACAAAUCAAGCAUUCACAUAUUCACAAGCAUAACAUACUUCAUUCCAUGUGAUUACAGUCCCUGAGUAUGAAUUCAUGACUUUAAGUGGAUAAAAACUUUACAUGCCUACACAUGCAAAGUGGAGCACAAACACAUUCCACAGAUGUCUCUUGGGAUGUUCUUUUUACGACAUGUGGCAUCUACUUUCAGGGCACAAGGGAACAGAAGCAGACUGUUUGUGUCUAAAAACAAAUGUCUGUCCACUGCGCCCAAGCCAUAAUAAAGUCUGAGCUGCCCCAGCGAGGGAUCGCUUCCUGGUGAGAAUAACCGCAACGUACAGCGUGUACAAAGGAGGGGAGUAGCUUCCAUCCAGUAUUCACACAGUCUCUCUGUAAUCAAUCUUGUUUAAUUAAAUGUUUCAUAAUUUGCUAUGGUACUCUUUUUUUUUUUUUGGGAUUCCAUCAAAGGCAGCUUUUCAAAAAUGAUUUUCUAUAUUCUCCCUGUGGUUUCCAUAUAUUAUUUUCCUUGUGAUUCUUUAUGGAUAAUUGCGAGAUGCAGCAGCCAAAAGCUCCUUCUCAUUCCAAGUCCAUCCAAGCUCACCCUAUAGUUUCUAAUAUGAAGGCUCUACAAUUGUCUGUUUUGGGCAGGCUUGCAUGCACGGCACAUUACUGCCAAACAUACACAUGGCCGUCAGCAUGUCCCUUUUUUCUUUAUCUGAAAUUUAGUACACAGUAGAAAUGUAUUCCGAGGAUCCAGAUGGUGGAGGCGGGCAUCCUGUUCAUGGGUCAUCAGUAUAAACGCAUACACAACGUAGGAAAGUAAAGGUAUAGCCAGCACUGGCACCUGGAGAGGAGCCCACGGAGGCUUUUAGUGGGUACAGAACUUACUCUUAUAUUUCUUGAUACAAAUGGUGAAUGUAUAAUCACUCAUAUUCUAUUUGUAGUAUUGCUGUCAAACGAUUAAAAUAUUUAAUCACGAUUAAUCACAUUUAUGUCCUAGUUAACUCAAAAAAUCCCGAUUGCAGAUUUUUAUCUGUUUUAAAUGCCCGUUCAUUUUUUUUUUCCAUAAUCUUUUUUCAUUUUAAUGCUCUUAUCAACAUAGAAAAGUGGAUUGACUUUGCAUUCAUUUAUUUAUUUAUUAUAUUGAAUAACAUUGCCAAACAGGGCGGUACAAAAAGACAAAGUGCACAUUUGAGGUAAACAAGGACAUGGCCUAUAGUAUACCGUUAAACCAUGGCUUAAUAUUUCCUUCAUGUGUGGACCACCAUUCCUGGGGUCAUUCAUCCCAAAAUUAAAUAAAAAAGUUUAUCUCGUAAUACAAAAAAUCAUCGUUGUUAAAAUGGGUUUGUAUUAACGUUGUUAAUAACGCAUUUAACUGACAGCGCUAAUUUUUAGUUUAACAAGCGUUUGAAAACAGCAUAAAGGUGUGACUAAUGAAGGUGUUCUGUUACCUUUAUACCGGCUUUAAAAGAUCAUACCACCUUAAGGAACCCAUCUAAUGGACAUGGCUUCAAAUGAUUCCCACAAAACACAAUCUAACACAAAAUGAAUUCAAACAAAAUGAACCUUGACUAUCAUCCAAUUACAGAUCUGAAUCUGCUCUAUCAAACUGGCGGGAUCUAGUUGUGUAGUACUUUGUCUUCUUGUCUACAUUGUCUUCUUGUCUCUGUAUCUUGUGUAGCUGGUUGUAAUGUUAAACUGAUUAUUAUUGUGCUUGGACUGGUGAUUGUUUGAACUACCAGUCAUCCGCUGCCCCACUCAUCAGAGGUAAUGCUACAGGGACACACAGGUUCAGAUUUUAAUGGCCACUUGUGUGUGUGUGUGUGUGUGUGUGUGUGUGUGUGUGUGUGUGUGUGUGUGUUUAGUCUGCUGUCACAGGGAGCGUGGUAACGGCGUUGUGACGGUGUGUCUUCACCCAUUGGAAGUAAGUAACCCGAACGCAUUAUUGCAUUCAUCCUUUUUGGUCAUGAUGGCAAUGAUGCAUUUCAAAGAUAUUUCUUUGUGAUCUGAUCAGCAAACAAACGUCUGUAUGGAGCCAAAUCCAGGUCAAAAGUUUUGUUCAUUUGAAAAACAAAUGUGAACCUAAAAGUUUAGGUUUUGUAUUUGAACGUUGAAAAAUACAACGCUGUAUUCAAAAUAAAAAUAAGUGAAAAUAUAAAAUCUGCAACCGAAAAAUAUAAUACAAUCAUAAAAGAAAUGUGAAGAUUGAAAAAGA